ACAUUGUGUUAAAAAUUGGGAAAAUUUGAAAUUGUCCAAAAUUAUGUGGAUCUAUCUCGUACUUGUAAUUCAUAUAAUUCAUAUUACUUCUCUAUGACAACAUGUUAGUCCGAUUGAUGUUCUGCUGUAUAUAUGUGGCCUGGUUUCUUGCCUUUGGCCUCACCAUUUGUCUGUCAACAGUGAAAUGUUUGUAAAGACGCGUUUUUUACCUUUAAAAAUGCUGAUAUUAAUCUGCCAGAAAGGUGAAACAACUGUUGCCCAUUGUUAAAAGAUGUCAUGAUUGUGUCUUUCUUUACGGGUGAUGGACCUGCCCAUGCGAAGACGUCGAGUUGUGAGUGCUUCGAACAAAACCUCCACUGCAUCUUCAAGUGCUUUGGCUUGAUUAUCCAAUCCAUGGGAAACAAAAUUUGGAAGGUCAUGCAGCUCAUCGAGGAGGCCUAUGGCUGCAGCUGCUGUACAUGUACGAUCCCAUGAUGGUUGGGGUCUGAGUUUAUGCAUCAAGGAUGCUCCUGUGUUCAGCGUUAUGCAAGGAAUCUCCUCCUCCCCCCACAUCACCUUGUACCGAUCCUUUAAACGGCUGAACAUUGCACCCG
Molecule: unclassified non-coding RNA, 593 nt
Filed under: Hevea brasiliensis (rubber tree)
Lineage: Eukaryota; Viridiplantae; Streptophyta; Magnoliopsida; Malpighiales; Euphorbiaceae
Source: RNAcentral